AACGAACGCUGGCGGCAGGCUUAACACAUGCAAGUCGAACGGUCCCUUCGGAGGCAGUGGCAGACGGGUGAGUAACGCGUGGGAACAUACCUUUCGGUACGGAACAACAGUUGGAAACGACUGCUAAUACCGUAUACGCCCUGAGGGGGAAAGAUUUAUCGCCGAGAGAUUGGCCCGCGUUGGAUUAGCUAGUUGGUGGGGUAAUGGCCUACCAAGGCGACGAUCCAUAGCUGGUCUGAGAGGAUGAUCAGCCACACUGGGACUGAGACACGGCCCAGACUCCUACGGGAGGCAGCAGUGGGGAAUAUUGGACAAUGGGCGCAAGCCUGAUCCAGCCAUGCCGCGUGAGUGAUGAAGGCCUUAGGGUUGUAAAGCUCUUUCGCCGGUGAAGAUAAUGACGGUAACCGGUAAAGAAGCCCCGGCUAACUUCGUGCCAGCAGCCGCGGUAAUACGAAGGGGGCUAGCGUUGUUCGGAAUUACUGGGCGUAAAGCGCACGUAGGCUGACUUUUAAGUCAGGGGUGAAAUCCCGGGGCUCAACCUCGGAACUGCCUUUGAUACUGGAAGUCUUGAGUCCGAGAGAGGUGAGUGGAACUCCGAGUGUAGAGGUGAAAUUCGUAGAUAUUCGGAAGAACACCAGUGGCGAAGGCGGCUCACUGGCUCGGUACUGACGCUGAGGUGCGAAAGCGUGGGGAGCAAACA
Molecule: ribosomal RNA, 700 nt
Filed under: uncultured Stappia sp.
Lineage: Bacteria; Pseudomonadati; Pseudomonadota; Alphaproteobacteria; Hyphomicrobiales; Stappiaceae
Description: bacterial SSU rRNA
Rfam family: Bacterial small subunit ribosomal RNA
Source: RNAcentral